RNAcentral lists this small nucleolar RNA (85 nucleotides) under Kryptolebias marmoratus (mangrove rivulus). RNAcentral describes it as "Small nucleolar RNA U2-30 (ENSKMAG00000002777.1)". The record is from RNAcentral. Lineage: Eukaryota; Metazoa; Chordata; Actinopteri; Cyprinodontiformes; Rivulidae.
GAGCGAUGAUGAUAAAAUACUCCAACCUGAAGUGUGUUUAUUAAAAAUACAUUUCAUGAUGGUUUCUACACUUGAACUGAGCUCA